This 467-nucleotide ribosomal RNA is filed under the name uncultured bacterium. RNAcentral's name for it is "partial 16S ribosomal RNA". It matches the Rfam family "Bacterial small subunit ribosomal RNA", at positions 29 to 507 of the family's 1533-position model. The record is from RNAcentral.
ACGAACGCUGGCGGCGUGCUUAACCCCUGCAAGUCGCACGGAAAGGCCCUGCUUUUGUGGGGUGCUCGAGUGGCGAACGGGUGAGUAACACGUGAGUAACCUGCCCUUGACUUUGAGAUAACUUCAGGAAACUGGGGCUAAUACCGGAUAGGAGCUCCUGCUGCAUGGUGGGGGUUGGAAAGUUUCGGCGGUUGGGGAUGGACUCGCGGCUUAUCAGCUUGUUGGUGGGGUAGUGGCUUACCAAGGCUUUGACGGGUAGCCGGCCUGAGAGGGUGACCGGCCACAUUGGGACUGAGAUACGGCCCAGACUCCUACGGGAGGCAGCAGUGGGGAAUAUUGCACAAUGGGCGGAAGCCUGAUGCAGCAACGCCGCGUGCGGGAUGACGGCCUUCGGGUUGUAAACCGCUUUCGCCUGUGACGAAGCGUGAGUGACGGUAAUGGGUAAAGAAGCACCGGCUAACUACGUG